GCCCGUGUCCCAAGGCGCCCGGGCGGUGAGCUUGAGGGGCGAGCCCUGGCGCCCGAGCGGCACACCCACUUUCCUUAUUAGGAUAGACUCGGAGCCGGGCGCAGGCGGCGGGUCCAGGAGGUGGGGCGGGAGCCCCGGGAGGAGACGGCCGGGGGCGCAGACGCGGCCUCAGCCACCUUGGAGCGGCCGGAGCGAGCCGCCAGCAGCGCUUGGCCACUUUGCGGUGACCGUGCUGCGGUCCCCGGGCCGCGAUCUUCCUCCUCAGACUCUGCCCCCAAACUCUGGGCCAAGCCCAUCGCAAAGACAUGGAAGAAUUUCUGCAACGCACCAAGUCUAAGCUGAAUCGAAGCAAACGCUUGGAGAAGGUUCACGUGGUUAUUGGACCUAAAUCAUGUGACUUGGAUGCUCUGAUUUCUGCCUUCACAUAUGCUUACUUUCUAGACAAGGUCAACCCACCUGGGGUUCUCUGUUUACCAGUGCUGAAUAUUCCAAGAACUGAAUUCAACUACUUCACUGAGACCAGGUUUAUUUUAGAAGAACUGAAUAUCUCUGAAUCUUUCCACAUAUUCCGAGAUGAGAUUAAUCUGCACCAGCUAAAUAACGAAGGGAAAUUGUCUAUAACACUCGUUGGGAGCAAUGUCCUAGCAAGUGAGGAUAAACCAUUGGAAUCAGCGGUUGUCAAAGUCAUUAGCCCGGCUGAGCAGAACGGUGCCGAGCUGGGGUUUCCGGAGUCUUCCUCGUCCCUCGUGCUGAAAGAGCUUCUCCGGGAGGCUCCCGAGCUCCUCACUGAGCAGCUGGCUCAUCUCCUCAGAGGCAGCAUCCUCUUCACGUGGAUGACUAUGGAUCCAGAGAAGCUCUCUGAGAAGCAGGAGGAGAUUCUGUCUGUCCUAGAGGAGAAGUUUCCUGACUUACCUCCGAGGGAAGACAUCAUCAGCGUCCUGCAGGAAACCCAGGCCAGUGCUCACGGUUUAAGUACGGAGCAAACACUGCUGAAAGACUUGAAGGAACUGUCAGAUGGGGAAAUAAAAGUGGCCAUUAGUUCUGUGAACAUGAACCUUGAGAACUGUGUGUUUCACAGCAGUAUCACCAGUGAUUUGAAAGCAUUUGCAGAGAAGUUCAGCUAUGAUGCCCUCAUCCUGUUCUCCAGCUACCUGUCGGAGGGUCAGCAGCCUAGACGACAGAUCGCUGUGUACUCUCAGAACCUGGAGCUGUGCAGUCAGAUUUGCUGUGAGCUGGAAGAGUGUCAGAACCCUUGCCUGGAACUGGAGCCCUUUGAAUGUGGCUGUGAUGAGAUCCUGGUGUACCAGCAGGAGGAUCCUUCUGUGACUUGUGAUCAGGUGGUUCUCCUUGUCAAAGAAGUCAUCAAUAGGAGGUGUCCAGAGAUUGCCUCCAACAGCCGGACAUCCUCAACGGAAGCUGUGGCUGGCAGUGCACCCCUCUCCCAAGGCUCUUCUGGGAUUAUGGAAUUGUAUGGCUCUGAUAUAGAGCCAGCACAGCCCAGCUCUGUGAAUUUCAUAGAGAAUCCUCCAGAUCUCAAUGAGUCUAACCAGGCUCCAGCGGAUGUCAACAUGGACCUUGUUAGUCCAGACAGUGGGCUUGCCACCAUUCGGAGCAGCCGGUCAUCCAAGGAGAGCUCUGUUUUCCUCAGCGAUGACAGUCCAGUGGGAGAAGGUGCUGGGCCUCACCACAGCCUCCUUCCAGGCUUUGACUCCUACAGUCCCAUCCCUGAAGGGGCAGUGGCAGAAGAGCACGUUCGGUCUGGAGAACACAGGGAACACUUUGGCCUCUUCAGCUUUGACUCAGCUCCCAUGGCUUCAGGGCAGUCCCAGCCAUCUUCCCAUUCUGCAGACUACUCCCCAGCAGAUGACUUCCCCAACAGCGAUUCGUCAGAUGGACAGCUUCCCCCUGGGCCAAAAGGACUUGAUGAGAUAGGAACCAACAUGUCCAAUUAUUCAUCCAGUUCACUUUUGUCUGAGGCUGGCAAAGACAGCCUGGUGGAAUUUGAUGAAGAGUUUGUUCAGAGACAAGAAAGUCUGGUAGAAAAUGCUGAAGGAAGUUUAAGCCUGAAAAGUUUUGUGGGAGAUGAGUCUCCUUCACCAGAAAGGCUGGACAGUAUUGGAAAGCAAAUUCCACCCACACCUACGAAUAGCUUUGUGGGAAGCUCACCAUCCACUGAAGAUCCAGCCAUGCUCUAUCCAGAGGACAUAAUUCCUGAAGCAACAGACAUGGGUCACCUUGGGCCACCUCAGACCCAGACCCGGUGUAGUAGCUGGUGGGGUGGUUUGGAAAUUGACUCUAAAAAUAUUGUAGAUGCAUGGAGUUCCAGUGAACAAGAAUCCGUUUUUCAGAGCCCUGAAUCAUGGAAAGAUCAUAAGCCCAGCCCCACUGAUAGAAGAGCUUCAGAUUCUGUACUUCAACCAAAGAGUCUUGACUUCCCAAAAUCAGAUCCCUGGGAGUCUGAAUUUGGUCAGUCAGAACUCAAUAGCAACGACAUUCAAGAUGAAAAGGAGGAAAGCUUGCAGUUUCCAAACCUUUCCACUGAGAAGUCACAUUUACCAAAUGCUUCUCCUAAGGGAACAAACCACCUGAUAGAAGACUUUGCUGCUUUGUGGCAGUCUGGUCAGUCUCCCACAGCAAUGCCUGAGCCCUGGGGAAACCCUACAGAGGAUGGGGAACCAGUGGCUGCUGUGUCAUUCCCAGCUUGGAGUGCAUUUCAUAAAGAAGAUGAUGCUGAAGCUUUAAAAAAUACCUGGAACCUUCACCCGACAAGCAGCGAGACACCUUCUGUGAGGAACCCAAAUGAGUGGGUGAUGGCGAGAAGUGGGUAUUCCUUUCCUUCAGAAGACCUAUUGGACAGUUCAGCCAGUAAGGCCAACAAUGAGGCAGCUCCAAAACUCUGGGGCAAGAAGAACAAUGACUCCAAGGAUAAUAUCCUUGUAUCUAGAAACCCCAGUUCCAAACUGGAGCAUGCAUGGAAUAAUUCCCAGCCACCAAGGGAAGAUCAAAACCGCUUGGUGGAUCCUAAAGUGAGGGGGAAGGUAUAUGAACAGGUAGAUUCCUGGAACUUUUUUGAGGACACUGUUAAGAAAGGAGGGUCAGACGUCCUAGCUCCUUGGGAGGAUUCCUUCCUAGCGUACAAAUGUUCUGAUUAUAGCGCAUCUAAUGUAGGAGAAGAUUCAGUGCCUUCCCCCUUAGAUACCAACUACUCCACCUCUGACUCUUACACAUCACCAACAUUUGCUGGGGAGGAAAAAGAAACAGAAAGCAAGCCACUUACUCAAGAGGAAGUUGGUGAGUCCAAAGAUACUGGCUCGACUGUAGAGGAGGCUUCAGUUCCUCUGCAGUCUUCGCCGCAGCUUCUUAGAAACAGAAUUGGUUCAGGUCCUGGGAACCUAGACAUGUGGGCUUCCCCUCUUCCCGAAGCAAGCAGAGCUCACGACCCAGAUAAAGAUGCUCUCCAGGCAGAGAACACCUCCACGGAGGACGGUGUCGGGGAGAGUAGCCAGUCCAGCUACGAUGAUCCCAGCAUGAUGCAGCUGUACAACGAGACCAAUCGGCAGCUCACACUUCUGCACAGCAGCACCAACUCCCGGCAGGCAGCCUCGGACAGCCUCGACUUGUGGAACAGAGUGAUUCUGGAGGACACGCAGUCCACUGCCACAAUUUCAGAUAUGGAUAACGACUUGGACUGGGAUGACUGCAGUGGGGGAGUGGCGAUGACCAGUGAUGGCCACGCAGAAGGAUACGUGACUGAGAGUACUGAACCCGAAACCCGAUUUUCAGUGAGACACCUGGAACCAUGGGGCACGGAGUACCAGGAAGAAAAUCAGAUAGAUUGGGAGCUCACUGCCUCCGCUGAGCACGCCAAGGAUGCUGCUCCCAACGAGUAUCACACACUGAAUGAGAAAAAUGGGCAGCUAAUUGCAAACAGCGUUUGGGAUUCUGUCAUGAGAGAUAAAGAUGCAUCAUCAUGCAGGUUACCAGGCCUCCCAUAUAUGACAGAUUCAGAAGCAAUCGACUUACCUUCUGAAGGUACCAGCCAUUCAGCAAAUGCUAUGGAGAGCUGCAUGGCAGAUGGGUUAGAAGCCUCUGGAAUCAGUGAGUCAGCAGCAUGCACACCUCACCCUGAUGACGAGGACACAUGGACAGGAAUGCUGCCAGCUAAUACAGCACCCUUGGUGACCAGGCCUGAGAACCCAGAACAUUCUGCAUGUUCAGAUCCAUGGAUGGGGCAUAGCUACAGAAAUAGCGAAAGUGAACACGAAGCCCUGGGAGCCUCAAGCAGAAGGUGUCUUGACAAGGAGGAGGUGAUAGGUUCUGGGGACAAGAGUGCCCCAGGGACUCCUGGAAAAGAGACUGGUGACCAGGAACUCUCUUCUCCAGCUGCAGCUGAAUAUCAAGAAAUCUACACUGAAUUAGGCAAAGUCACAUCUCUUCCAGCUACUUGUGGUCCUGAAACAAGUGAACCAAAGAAUGUUUUAGGGCUUGAGGGGCCUUAUGACCUAGGUUACACAAACAGAGAUGAUUCACCAACAGAGAUGUCUACAAAUGAGCUUCAGGCAAAGGAGACCUACGAAGAGCCCCUCAUGGAUCACAGAGAUUCAGGGGAAACUAUGGAGGUGCCAGGUAAGAUGAAUUUAACAAAAAAUGUAUCUUCAUCUGAGAUGGAUCUUGAGGAAAUAGAAGAAUGUAACAUUCCAGAGUCAGAAAGAAUGAGUGAAGAGCCACCUCGUGAGUCUCCUCAAAGCCUUGUUUUGGAAAGCCUUGUUUGGAAAGACUCUGCAGACAGUGGAAUACAGGACAAUUACACAAGUUCUGAGAUAACUAAGACUCUUGAAGUGAAAAGUACUGAAAAUAGCCUUCCAGCAGCCAGUUCCUCUGGGAGCUAUGGCAAAGACAGUCUUUCCAGUGAUGACUACACACACUCAAGUGCCUCGAGUCCUGAUCUAGAUGAUUCUUCAGCUGCAUUGUCCUCCUGGGGUCAGAGACCCAGUAUUGAGCAUCAGAAAGAGAAUCAAGAUGAAUGGAGAGAACAGAAUCACCAACAACCUGAAGUAACAACCCCUGAUGACCACGUAGGAGUAACUACUGAAAUGAAGACAUUAGAGAAAAACAGGAUGGAUGAGUUUGAAAAGAAUAUUGAACAAAAACUUCCUAAAUUUUUAGAGAUUUGGAAUGAUUCCAUCGAUGGUGAUUCUUUAUCCUCCUUAUCAAGCCCUGAAACAGGCAAAUAUUUUGACUACACAGGUGCAUACCAGGAUAGAAAUCUAGCAGUUAGUCACGAGGAGAACAAUAAAACCAUUGUUCCUGCAACUGGGCAGCCGGAGGAUGCCAAGGUCAUUUCAACAAAUUUGGGCUCAGAUGAUAACAGUGCAGGAAAUGAAGAGUCAGUAGAGAAAGAGACCCAUCUGGUCCCUUGUCAAGUGACUCAGAGUAAAUCCAGAGCUUCGGAUGAAUUGAGUGAGUCUAAAUUCUUGGCCAUGGCAGAACCCAACACUGAGGAGUUUUCUGAUUAUGUAGAUGAUACGGACCUAGCCGAGAAUGAGAAUAAGUCACACACCCUGUGUGACAGUCAAAGCAGCUCUGAGCACUGGAAUUUCUCACCGCUCACAGAGACUGAAAUUCAGAUCACAGCAGAGGACAAGGAGACACCACCUUCUCCAGAAGCGGGGAAGGCGAGAGAUGAAAUAUGGCAGGUAUCUCCCAAAACUGAGCCAAAGAAUGAAGCUCAUUCUAAACUGGAAAUUCUUGGCUUCUCAGCUGAGAGCAGUGAGUGGUGGGAAGCUCCUCUGCAGGAAGGGAGGCCCAUGGAGAGUGCAUUUCAGGGGGUACUGUCUAACUCAAGUGAUGCUUUGGCGGGGAUUUCUUCAGUGUAUCAAAGUGUGGGUCCAUGGGGAGUACCCGCUCAGGGUGAUGCUGAGUCCAUGCAAACACACUGCACUGAUCCUUUCAGUGACGAACUCCGGCCACCCUUUCUGGGCAGUAAUGAGGGCAACUCCCAUGGGCAACUUUGGAACAUCCAACCAAGGCAGCCAGAUCCAGACACUGACCAGUUUACCCAGCUUGUAAUACUAAACCAAAUUAAAGAAAAAGACCCCAGAGAGCAAACUUUUAUGUCUUUAGCUGGUCAUGAGCUUCCUUUUGAGACACCCACUCAAGAGCAGUGUCAGGAUAACAUGCUGUCUGUCUGGGCUCGACCGGAUCCAGCGGUUACUCCCUCAGAUGAAACGGGAUACGUCACAGCUAAUGUCUCAGCUGAGUGUCAGGAAGUGAACUGGUGGGAACCAGAAAAAUCAUACCUUACUGAAACAACACAUUCAAGCACUCCCACCGAAAAUUUACCCACCAUCCAUUCUCCCAGCCAACUGAUAAGGAAGUCAGUCUCUGCAUGGGAUGGCUCCAACCCUAAUGAGGACACCCAAGACGCCUUCACCCCCGAUAUUUUACAUGGCAACUUCCAAGAGGGCGGGCAGCUGCCCUCAGCCUCCCCUGACUUGUGGGUGGAUGUGAAGCAGCCCUUCAGUCUGAAGGCAGAGGGCGAGAAUCCAGACAUACUCACUCACUGUGACCAUGACAGCAUUUCUCAGGCUUCCAGCAGCCCCGAUGUAUGUCAUGAUUCUGAAGCAAAGCAAGAGGCUGAGCAACACAGCAAUGCUCGAGUCAGACCUGCAGUGGAAUCCAGUGAGUUUUAUCUCACUGAGUCAGAGAUAAGUGAAGACCUGACUCAGGACCCUGGACAGGAAUCUGUCCUAUACGAUUCAGGACUCUCUGCUGGAAACGUAAUUCCACUGCCUCUAGGUACUAAUCAGUCGAACAUAAAUGGCUCAUCUCAGCCUGCAUCUUCUAUAGAUUCUCCCGAGCAUUCUGAAAUGAACGAUGAAAACCAUGCAAGUUUAGAAGCAUCAAAGGAAGAGCCCAUAACAGAUACAGCACCAGUUCUGGAACCCACUGACAGGACCAUCCAAAGAGUUGAAAAUGUGGAAACUCGUAUUUUGGUCACUCACCAGGAGCCAACUACAGAAGGAAACUGCUCCUGGGUACCAGAGGACGUUUCUCCUGAAAGUUAUACAGGCUCAAGGGCUUUGCUUCACGGUGAGACGCCCUUUGCUCCCGAGACUCCCACCACUGCUGUGGCUGAUACCUGUUUGGAUGUAAGCGAAGCUGCCUUGGACCAUAGUUUCAGUGACACUUCAGGUCUUAACACUUCCACAGGUACCAUAGAAGAUGUAAGUAAACUGACACUGUCAGAAGGCCAACCUGAAACACCAGUUGAUGGAGAUGCUGGGAAACAAGAUAUCUGUUCAUCUGAAGCCUCAUGGGGGGAAUUUGAGUAUGACGUCAUGGGCCAGAACAUUGAUGAAGAGGUAAUGAAAGAGCCUGGGCAUUUCUUCUACAGUGCUGACCCUCCCUUAGAAGGCAAUGGUCAGAAGCAAUCAGUGGCACCCUACACACCUCCCUUUGACCUGUCCUGUUUCACAGAGGCACGCCCUGGUGCCCAGACAACAGAGGAAGCUGGGUCCCCAGAGGAUUUAUCUCUGGGAAGUGAAGCAGCAGAGAUGUUGCUUUCUGCUCUUCCUGAUCAAAGUGAGGGAAACCACAUGGAGACCGAAAGCAGACAGCCUGCACACCAGCUGGUUGCACUGCAUAUUCAUGAAGACCCGGUUUCUUUGGCUGCAGGAGAAGCCAGCUCCAACUUUGAGUCAUCUCCAUCAAACAUUGACUGGGAAGUGGACUCAGAUGCUUCUGACUCACCAGCAGGUGGAGACACGAGACCACCAAAUGGUGCCAACAAGAGAAUUUUAGAAUUAGAAGAAGAAAAAAUAACCCCUGCCAAAGAGCUGAAGGAGAUAAAAUCAGAAUAUAAAGAAGAAAGAUGGACAAGAAAGAAUGAAGAUCAUCAUGCAAUACAGAUGGAUUAUAUUCUAGUAGGCCAUGAACAAAAUUCACCCUUGAUGCCAGAGGCCUGUGAAGCAGGAGACAGCGUGCCCCAGUUAGAAGCAACAUCUGUAGGUUCAGAAGAAACAGACCUGCCAGGAACUCAGGUAGUAAGCUACCCAGAUAUGUGUCAGCCUGCCUCUUUAAAUGAAAGCAAAGAUUGCUCUGUAGAGAGAUUCAAAGAUGAUAAGAGAUUAUCUCUUGAAAGUUCUGUCCAAGACCAGAAUUGGAUGGUCUUGAGCUGUGGUGAGGGUAAUCAUCCAUCACCGGAUGCCAAGGAUGCAGGGACUGGAUGGGCUGACAAGACUGUGGAGCCAUUUUCUGAUCCACGCAUGAUCCAAGAUUCCCAGGUGGGAGAAAUGAAGCCUCUAGAGUCUUUAGCACUAGAGCAGGUCUCUGGUCUGAGCAGCCAAUCACAGAAGAUAAACAGCCGAGGCAGGGCUGACCUGGAAACAGUUUUGUUGCCAACUGUCACCCAUGACAAUGAAUGGGAAAUGCUUUCACCACAGCCAUCUCACACAAACAGGAUCUCUGAAAGGGAGAUGGAGGAGGAGACAGAGUUUCUUGAGCCUGGAACCAGGAAAGUAAAACCAAAUGGACUCCUGUCAGAGGAUGUAGGAAUGGACGCCCCCUUUGAGGAGGGAACACUGAGUCCCAGCGCUGCAGACAUGAGGCCUGAACCUCCUAAUUCACUGGACCUCAAUGACAGUCACCCUCGGAGAAUCAAGCUCACAGCCCCAAAUAUCAAUCUUUCUCUGGACCAAAGUGAAGGGUCCAUUCUUUCUGACGAUAACCUGGACAGCCCAGAUGAAAUUGACAUCAACGUGGAUGAGCUUGACACUCCCGACGAAGCGGAUUCUUUUGAGUAUACAGGCCACGAAGAUUCUGUGGUCAACAAAGACUCUGGCCAAGAGUCAGAGUCUAUUCCAGAAUACACGGCUGAAGAAGAGCGUGAAGACAACCGGCUGUGGAGGACGGUGGUGAUUGGGGAGCAGGAGCAGCGGAUUGACAUGAAGGUCAUCGAGCCCUACCGGAGAGUCAUUUCCCAUGGAGGAUACUAUGGGGACGGUCUAAAUGCCAUCAUUGUGUUUGCUGCUUGUUUUCUGCCAGACAGCAGUCGGGCGGAUUACCACUAUGUCAUGGAAAAUCUGUUCCUCUACGUCAUAAGCACAUUAGAGCUGAUGGUAGCCGAGGACUACAUGGUCGUCUACUUGAAUGGUGCAACCCCGAGGCGGAAGAUGCCAGGACUGGGCUGGAUGAAGAAGUGCUACCAGAUGAUUGACAGGCGGUUGCGCAAGAAUUUGAAAUCAUUCAUUAUUGUUCAUCCAUCCUGGUUCAUCAGAACGAUCCUUGCUGUGACACGCCCUUUUAUAAGUUCAAAAUUCAGCAGUAAAAUUAAAUAUGUCAGUACCCUAUCAGAACUCAGUGGGCUGAUCCCGAUGGAUUGCGUCCAUAUUCCAGAGAGCAUCAUCAAGUACGAUGAAGAGAGAUCUUUUAAGAGAAGUGUGAGACUGGAUGAAGAACUGAGAGAAGCUUCAGAAGCAGCUAAGUAAGACUCAGUUUUUAGCAGCUGGCGCGAUGUUGCUUGCAUUUCAGGAGUGAGCGGGGAGAAGCUGCAUGCCUGAACUAGCUGCCUUUACAAUGAUCCAGAAGUGUCUUCUAUGGAGAAGGAUAUGAACCUGCAACUGAAGGAAAACCCCUAGCUGGCUCUGGCUGAGGAGAAGGCUGCUCUUGGCUUUAUGAUUCUGCAGAGAAACACACCUACCUGGAAGAGAUAGGGCUGGCGUCACAUUUUCCCAUUUUGCACUACCUGGUGCCACUCUAAAUUUCCAAGAGGGGAACAGGAAAGGAGUCUGUUUACUUUUAUCAUGAUCUGUGUGAAACUGCAUUAUCCUGUUUUGCCAGUUAUGUGCCUCGGAGCUUUUAGUUGAGCCUUAGCAAGAAAGUAGGACCUUCCAUUUCAAGAUUUAGUGAACCCUCAGUCAGUGGUAUUUGGUCUCUUCGGUAAUGUUUACCACAACAGAAUAUUAACUUUAAACCCCCUGUAAGGAUAAGUAGACUUCUCCUUAGACCGCUAGAUUGCUUCGUGGUGAUAACUUCAAAUUUUGAAUACAAUAGGCUCACACUCUCCUCUCCCCAGCGAGAGUUGCUGCUUGCAAUGCCACCUUUGAAAUCCUAAGCCUGCUUAGCAAGCCAUGAGCCAGAUGUGGGUGUAAAACAUCUUCAGCUAAGUGUAUCGUCACAUGAGUCUUGCACUUCUCAGAGAAGCUAGCCUUCCAUAUAUCAAUUUUACCUGAGCUAUGAUUUUCAAAAAUUGAUCUUUUAAUUUUUUUAAUAUUUUUUAUUUUUAUUUUCCUUUUGUCUGAGACAGGAUCUCACUACACAGUUCAGGCUGGCCUUGAGCUCACUUUAUUGCCCAGGCUCUUUUCAAACUUGCAGUGAUCCUCUUGCUUCAGCCUCCUGAAUGCUAGGAUUACAGGCGUGUGCCAUCAUGCCUGGCUAAAAAUUGAUCUUUUAAAAUACUGUUUUCUCCAACAAAUUGUGAAUGCCUUCAUUUGCAAAAUCUAAGGCUGAAUGUUAGUGGCUGUCUGCACUUUAGGCCACAAACCAGGCUCAAGAAGUUAUACUUUUAAGUGCCAAGCGCUGAAACCUAAAGCAGCCCAUCAGAAAUUAUUUAGGAAUAUUCAGCUAUCCAGAUUCCCCUCACAUGCAUCAUAGAAAGUGAAUUUCUUUAAGACAUUCUAACCUGACCACAGGUUUGUAAUUAAAUGUAUGUGCUACCAUUUACAAAAUAGUUUCUAAUUUUCAUACACCUUUUAAAAUGGCAGUGCAACUUCAGGCUGUUGGCUUUUAGCAGAGAGCUCGGGAAACUUCCAACUCUAGAGCAUCAUCAUAAGCUAACGGUGAUCUUCACACGUUUAUGGUUAAAAAAUAUAAUUUUUCAUAAUACAAGAAAGUUAUUCAAAUUUUAGUAGCCGUACAUAAAGUGGUACUGAAGCACAGCCACAGAAGUUUGUUUUCCUGCUGUCCACAGCUACUUUCACACCACCUCAGGAGAGCUGAGGAGUUGUUACAGACCAUUUGGCCACAAAGCCAAAAACAUUUACUGUCUUAACAGAAAGUUUACCAGCCUCUACCAUACCAAAUACACCAUUUCCCACCCCACCUCCCCCAUUUGUAAUUGACUUGUCCAGCAGAAUGGACAGAUAAGGCUAUAAAAUAAUAUUUUUUCUAGCAAAAAGAAAUUUUCUGUGUCUGCAGACAAUCAGAAUACACGAUCUGCUGGAAAGGAUAGAGUGCAUGGUGUGGAAGCCUUGCACAGGUUGUAACUGCAGCUCUCAAAGUGAGCUCUUCUUAUGAGUCCCCCUGAGCUACUCCUGGCAUCCUGGAGGUCCUUGAGCACCAUCCUUAAUUCCCCGGAAACACCUCUGAUAGUAACCUGGCGGAAGGCCAGGUGAUGUGGAAAAGGGCUCUGCCGUGGUCUCAGGGUAGCAGCUCCACUGGGGACAGCUGUCCAGGAUGCAUUGAGCCUUGGGUACAGGAGCCCUGAGUUGCUUCAAAGUAGACACCUUUGCCUUGAUGACUGAGCUGCUCUGCCCUUCUGUGCUCCGUGUCUGCUUCCACUUACCUCCACACGUGCUCACACAAUGCAUGAGUUGGCUCUUCCCCACAUUAGCCUCUCUAAUUAUCCAUCAUCCCUUCUUGUGCCUUUCAACUUAGAAAGCAUCCUCGUUUGGGCCCCCUUUCUCAUGUCUGGCUGGCCUUCUGACAGAAACCCUGCACCCACCCAGUGUCCCCCUACCUCUGCCCUUGGAGGCCCAAAGAAUGCCGUAAGUACAGUUCUGCUCACCUGCUUCACGCCUUCCUCAGCAGUGCUCCAUUCUGCAAGGUGAACUCCAUGGUCUCUGUAGCCAUGUUGAGCCCCCCUCAUGCAUAAUUGGAGUCCAACUCAGUGGUACAGACCAGAGGACACCGAGACUGGGCAGAGGACUCCUGUUCCAGCCAGCCAGGCGUGGCAGCAGCUGACCACUCGCGGUCCUCACAACUCACCCACUGCUCAUUUGGAGACACCACGCGGGUUUGAAGCUUUGUCUUCCCACGCUGGCCUGGUGGGCGUCUUUCCCAAUCCAGCAGGACUGUUUGAGCUGUGUGAGGGCUGCAGCUCCAGUCUGAGGCUUAGGUAUCUGCUAUUUUAUUACCUUAGGAAGACACAUUAGUUCAUGCGCACAUACUAAAGAAAAGCUACCGUGUGAAUUCCAUCCCAGUAAACAGAAACCUAGGUGAAUCCUGAAAAAAUAGUCCCUACACAGAUAGGUAGGCAGGUGUAAACUUUCACAUCAUUCAGCUCCGGCUCUUGCAUUCUAAGCACUCUUGCUUUGGUUCUGACUUCUGAGAACUGCUUUGCACUUUGCCUGUACCUUUGUUGUUAAAGGAACCAAGGGCUCAUUGUGGGGCAGAAGUACUGCUUUUAUUCAAAGUGGCAAUAUUUUUUGCAUAGCUCUCUGUUAAAGCAAAAACAAAAAUUUGCACUGAAGAUAUUGCGGGAGGGGAGAAGGUUGGAGGGCAGCAGCUGGGGAAGGAAGAGACCCUGGUGUCCUGCUGGAGCCCUGGGUGUUUACAGGGCUCCUCCUGCGACCUGUGCUGGGAAGGGGAGGAGCACUGCUGCUGUCUUCAGGAACGCACCUGACCAUGUUAGCACCGCACGCAUCUCCUUACAGCGCCUCAGUAGAAACGCAGGUGUGCACAAAUUAACCUUUUAUAUAUUUAAAGAUUUUUCUACUGUGUAUAGGAUUGCUCAGAAAAAAGUGUGGAUUAGACUUUGUUUUGGUAAAUAAACUCCCUAAACUGUGGAUUAAUAAUAUAAAAAUAUGUAACAAUAUAUCUAUAUCUAUAACCUUCAGAAAUAAAAGUCGAUUCCAUAUGUUCA
Cavia porcellus (domestic guinea pig) is the source of this 12862-nucleotide RNA transcript. It is a transcript of the gene named prune homolog 2 with BCH domain, with no coding region annotated. The record is from RefSeq and is a predicted model, not a curated record. NCBI's taxonomy places the organism in Eukaryota, Metazoa, Chordata, Mammalia, Rodentia, Caviidae. The transcript has 20 exons.